UACAGAGGUCCCGAGCGUUGUUCGGAUUCACUGGGCGUAAAGGGUGCGUAGGUGGUGAGGAAAGUCGGAUGUGAAAUCUCCAAGCUUAACUUGGAAACUGCAUUGGAAACUGCCUUGCUUGAGGUUUGGAGGGGGGACUGGAAUACUUGGUGUAGCAGUGAAAUGCGUAGAUAUCAAGUGGAACACCAGUGGCGAAGGCGAGUCCCUGGACAACACCUGACACUGAGGCACGAAAGCCGGGGGAGCAAACAGG
This 253-nucleotide ribosomal RNA is filed under the name uncultured bacterium. RNAcentral's name for it is "partial 16S ribosomal RNA". It matches the Rfam family "Bacterial small subunit ribosomal RNA", at positions 524 to 776 of the family's 1533-position model. The record is from RNAcentral.